This 404-nucleotide ribosomal RNA is filed under the name Actinomycetes bacterium. RNAcentral's name for it is "Actinobacteria bacterium partial 16S ribosomal RNA". It matches the Rfam family "Bacterial small subunit ribosomal RNA", at positions 355 to 776 of the family's 1533-position model. Lineage: Bacteria; Bacillati; Actinomycetota; Actinomycetes. The record is from RNAcentral.
UGGGGAAUAUUGGACAAUGGGCGCAAGCCUGAUCCAGCCAUGCCGCGUGAGUGAUGAAGGCCCUAGGGUUGUAAAGCUCUUUCACCGGUGAAGAUAAUGACGGUAACCGGAGAAGAAGCCCCGGCUAACUUCGUUCCAGCAGCCGCGGUAAUACGAAGGGGGCUAGCGUUGUUCGGAUUUACUGGGCGUAAAGCGCACGUAGGCGGACUUUUAAGUCAGGGGUGAAAUCCCGGGGCUCAACCCCGGAACUGCCUUUGAUACUGGAAGUCUUGAGUAUGGUAGAGGUGAGUGGAAUUCCGAGUGUAGAGGUGAAAUUCGUAGAUAUUCGGAGGAACACCAGUGGGGAAGGCGGCUCACUGGACCAUUACUGACGCUGAGGUGCGAAAGCGUGGGGAGCAAAAAGG